ACAGAGGGGGCUAGCGUUGUUCGGAAUUACUGGGCGUAAAGGGCGCGUAGGUGGCCUGUUAAGUCGAACGUGAAAUCCCUGGGCUCAACCCAGGAACUGCGUCCGAUACUGGUUGGCUUGAAUCCGGGAGAGGGAUGCGGAAUUCCAGGUGUAGCGGUGGAAUGCGUAGAUAUCUGGAGGAACACCGGUGGCGAAGGCGGCAUCCUGGACCGGCAUUGACGCUGAGGCGCGAAAGCCAGGGGAGCAAACGGGA
Molecule: ribosomal RNA, 253 nt
Filed under: uncultured prokaryote
Description: partial 16S ribosomal RNA
Rfam family: Bacterial small subunit ribosomal RNA
Source: RNAcentral